This 80-nucleotide small nuclear RNA is filed under the name Mus caroli (Ryukyu mouse). Its description in RNAcentral is "snRNA (MGP_CAROLIEiJ_G0034913.1)". Lineage: Eukaryota; Metazoa; Chordata; Mammalia; Rodentia; Muridae. The record is from RNAcentral.
UUGACAACACAUAUUCUAAAAUUAGCAUGGUCCCUGCACAAAUUGAUGGCAUACAAAUUCACAAAAUAUCCCAUAUUUUU